GGAGAAGUAUGUGUUGAAUAUCGUCUAGGUGUAUGGGGGUUCAAAUCCCUCCUUCUCCGCCA
Molecule: transfer RNA, 62 nt
Filed under: Alkalihalobacterium chitinilyticum
Lineage: Bacteria; Bacillati; Bacillota; Bacilli; Caryophanales; Bacillaceae
Description: tRNA-OTHER
Source: RNAcentral